GAGGGGGUCCGCUCCUAGUACGAGAGGACCGGAGCGGCCGGGCCGCUGGUGUACCAGCUGUCCCGCCCGGGGCACCGCUGGGUAGCUAAGCCCGGACCGGAUAAGAGCUGAAGGCAUCUAAGCUCGAAGCCGACCCCAAGAUGAGGCCUCCCCAUCAGGGCCCUCCGAGACCAGGAGGUCGAUAGGCCGCAGGUGGAAGCCCGGCAACGGGUGGAGCCGAGCGGUACUAAUAGCCCGAUCGCCUUACG
This 248-nucleotide ribosomal RNA is filed under the name Candidatus Acetothermia bacterium. RNAcentral describes it as "partial 23S ribosomal RNA". It matches the Rfam family "Bacterial large subunit ribosomal RNA", at positions 2664 to 2925 of the family's 2925-position model. Lineage: Bacteria; Candidatus Bipolaricaulota. The record is from RNAcentral.